This 253-nucleotide ribosomal RNA is filed under the name uncultured bacterium. Its description in RNAcentral is "partial 16S ribosomal RNA". It matches the Rfam family "Bacterial small subunit ribosomal RNA", at positions 524 to 776 of the family's 1533-position model. The record is from RNAcentral.
UACGGGGGGGGCAAGCGUUGUUCGGAAUUACUGGGCGUAAAGGGUUCGUAGGUGGCUUGCUAAGUCAGACGUGAAAUCCCUCAGCUUAACUGGGGAACUGCGUCUGAUACUGGCGAGCUUGAGUGCAGGAGAGGAACGCGGAAUUCCUGGUGUAGCGGUGGAAUGCGCAGAUAUCAGGAGGAACACCGAUGGCGAAGGCAGGUCACUGGGCCGCAACUGACGCUGAGGAGCGAAAGCAUGGGGAGCGAACAGG